RNAcentral lists this ribosomal RNA (277 nucleotides) under Curtobacterium sp. 320. RNAcentral's name for it is "partial 16S ribosomal RNA". It matches the Rfam family "Bacterial small subunit ribosomal RNA", at positions 1 to 277 of the family's 1533-position model. The record is from RNAcentral. Lineage: Bacteria; Bacillati; Actinomycetota; Actinomycetes; Micrococcales; Microbacteriaceae.
UUUACGGAGAGUUUGAUCCUGGCUCAGGACGAACGCUGGCGGCGUGCUUAACACAUGCAAGUCGAACGAUGAUGCCCAGCUUGCUGGGUGGAUUAGUGGCGAACGGGUGAGUAACACGUGAGUAACCUGCCCCUGACUCUGGGAUAAGCGUUGGAAACGACGUCUAAUACUGGAUAUGACUGCCGGCCGCAUGGUCUGGUGGUGGAAAGAUUUUUUGGUUGGGGAUGGACUCGCGGCCUAUCAGCUUGUUGGUGAGGUAAUGGCUCACCAAGGCGAC